Molecule: ribosomal RNA, 838 nt
Filed under: uncultured Bacteroidota bacterium
Lineage: Bacteria; Pseudomonadati; Bacteroidota
Description: bacterial SSU rRNA
Rfam family: Bacterial small subunit ribosomal RNA
Source: RNAcentral
ACACAUGCAAGUCGAGGGGCAGCGGGUUGAAAGCUUGCUUUCAAUGCCGGCGACCGGCGCACGGGUGCGUAACGCGUAUCAAACCUGCCUCAUACUCGGGGAUAGGCUUGCGAAAGUAAGAUUAAUACCCGAUGUUGUUGCUUUCUCGCAUGGGAGAGUAACCAAAGAUUUAUCGGUAUGAGAUGGUGAUGCGUCCGAUUAGGUAGUAGGCGGGGUAACGGCCCACCUAGCCUUCGAUCGGUAGGGGUUCUGAGAGGAAGGUCCCCCAUACUGGAACUGAGACACGGUCCAGACUCCUACGGGAGGCAGCAGUGAGGAAUAUUGGUCAAUGGGCGAGAGCCUGAACCAGCCAAGUAGCGUGCAGGAUGACGGCCCUCCGGGUUGUAAACUGCUUUUAGUUGGGAAUAAAAAAAGGGACUUGUCCCUUCCUGUAUGUACCUUCAGAAAAAGGACCGGCUAAUUCCGUGCCAGCAGCCGCGGUAAUACGGAAGGUCCAGGCGUUAUCCGGAUUUAUUGGGUUUAAAGGGAGCGUAGGCGGAUUGUUAAGUCAGCGGUUAAAGGGUGUGGCUCAACCAUACAUUGCCGUUGAAACUGGCGAUCUUGAGUGCAGACAGGGAUGCCGGGAUUCGUGGUGUAGCGGUGAAAUGCUUAGAUAUCACGAAGAACUCCGAUCGCGAAGGCAGGUGUCCGGGCUGCAACUGACGCUGAGGCUCGAAAGUGUGGGUAUCAAACAGGAUUAGAUACCCUGGUAGUCCACACAGUAAACGAUGUAUACUCGCGGUUUGCGAUAGACAGUAAGCCGCCAAGCGAAAGCAUUAAGUAUACCACCUGGGGAGUA